UUCAGACGAUGCGUCAUGCAUAUCAAUAAGCGGAGGAAAAGAAACUAACUAAGGAUUCCCUCAGUAACGGCGAGUGAAGCGGGAAGAGCUCAAAUUUGAAAUCUUCAAGGGUUCUACCUUGACGAAUUGUAGUUUAAAGAAGUGUUUUCUGUUAGAGUUUUCGGUAAAAGUUCUUUGGAAUAGGACAUCAUAGAGGGUGAGAAUCCCGUAUUUGACCAUUAUUUCCAGCUUUGUGAUACACUUUCAAAGAGUCGGAUUGUUUGGGAAUGCAGUCCAAAAUGGGUGGUAAAUUUCAUCUAAAGCUAAAUAUUGGCGAGAGACCGAUAGCGAACAAGUACCGUGAGGGAAAGAUGAAAAGAACUCUGAAAAGAGAGUUAAACAGUACGUGAAAUUGUCAAAAGGGAAGCGUUUGACACCAGUGUUGUUUACUCGAAAGUCAAUUAAAAAAGGCAGGAUUUUGUGUUGUAUUGACUUUAUCAGCUUUCUGCACUCUUUUCUUGUCUUUUUUUAAUGCACUUUUCGUUUAACAAGUCAACAUCAAUUUCUUUUGUUGUAAAAGGGUCAGUAGGAAGGUGGCUUUCUUUUCGGAGAAAGUGUUUAUAGCCUUUGGCCUCUGCAAUCGGAGAGAUUGAGGUCUGCAGCGUAGAUCCUUCGGGGUUAGAUACAUUUGUGCUAAGUUAUAGCCUUUCAUAGACAACUUGUUGACUAUGAUCAGUCAUGUAGCUUACUCGCUUAUGCUAUUUUACCUACGCUUAGGAUGUUGAUCUACAGAGCGAGAGU
This 780-nucleotide ribosomal RNA is filed under the name uncultured Neocallimastigales. RNAcentral's name for it is "partial large subunit ribosomal RNA". It matches the Rfam family "Eukaryotic large subunit ribosomal RNA", at positions 18 to 628 of the family's 3401-position model. The record is from RNAcentral. Lineage: Eukaryota; Fungi; Neocallimastigomycota; Neocallimastigomycetes; Neocallimastigales.